AAUUGGGCAGAAGGAUCCUCCUCGGAUCAUCACCGGUUUUACUGAGCUGAAAGAAGAUUUCUCCAAGAGCUGCAAGAGGUCUUCAUCUCAGCAACAUGCUGCAUAAACUGUCGUCUUCAAAAAUGGUGACAAGCUGACAGCUUCCUUAUAAGAGCCUAACACAUUAGUACUGCUGCCCCAGGGCUGGCAAAGAGCUCCUUUCUGAAGUGCUGCAAAUUAAAACCAGCGUGACUUUGUAAUAUGAGCCAGUGAUGUGUUGGGAAGGAGGCACCUGGCAGUCACAACGUGGAAUGAAGAUGCUCAGUUCAGUGGGAAAAAUGGAUGCUGACUAGAAAUAUGGAGUGAGCUCUUGAUGUGUGCUGUGAACCAUCUGUAUCAAAUCUCCACCUUGCUUUUUUUCUGAGACACAAAUGAAAUCUUGGCCAGUGGGAAGCUGAUUUUUAAGUGAUAAAAAUAGAUGCCUUUUUUUAGCUCAUAAGGCAGCAGGUGGUGUUUAGACCAGUCUGUGUUUUGAAAGGUAUCAGAAAUGAUCUGGCUGGGAGUUUGUACACAGCUUCAACUUCCCUUUUUGUGAACAUCUACUUAAACCAACAUUUUGAGCCUCCCAGCUGUGCCUUCACUCUUCCUCCAUGAUGCCUUUCUGUGGUACAGAGAGCAGAGGCACCAGAAUGUUGAUGUUCUCCACUUUCCCAAAACAACCUUGAAUGAGUUACUGUCUGUGGGAAUGAGACACAAAACAAAGCAUGAGGAUAAAACUACUUGCAAAUGUGCCUGCUAGCUGCCAAAUAGCUGUAGUCAUUCCUUCAGCAUGUGAUCAAUACAAUUUGAGCAAUAACAGGUUAUUGACAGUUCAUUAACAAAUUCUGUUCUGUGUCUUUGUAUAACUUUUCAUUCAUGGACUAAAAUGAUCUUUUAUUGUCUACUGUCUAACCACACGUGUUGGUUCUGUCACAGCUUGCUUGUUCACAGGAGAACAAGCAGUCCAAAGUUGAAAACUCUGUAUUUCUGUAAGUUUACCAGCUUCUCUUCAGAAAUCACUCUAGUUACUGUGAAAAUUACUUUCAGAAAAUCAUUUAUUGGGCUACAGCACUUGUAUGUUCUUUCUUAGCAAAGAAUGUGCAUAACUUUCUACUGGUAGAUCUUAAAAAUGUUUGUCAUAUCAUGUCAACUGCUUCAAGACAUGAGCUGGUGCAGAGCCUAAAAAUAGCUGCUUGAAAAUGAUUGGACUGGCCUAAAGCCAGGCUGGAAUCAAGGAGGAAUAAAUGUGACUUGAAUUCAUUUUUACUCACAUGUGUCCUAAACUCUGAAUAAAGGCUGGAUGAAACUA
Pogoniulus pusillus (Red-fronted tinkerbird) is the source of this 1327-nucleotide long non-coding RNA. RefSeq lists it as uncharacterized. The record is from RefSeq and is a predicted model, not a curated record. NCBI's taxonomy places the organism in Eukaryota, Metazoa, Chordata, Aves, Piciformes, Lybiidae. The transcript has 2 exons.